AAGAUUUAGACGAAGACGUUGUGAUGUUUAUUUUAAAAUUACUGGAUUGAGUAUAAAAUGCUAAAAUGUUACAAACGAUAUCAAACUAUAAUGUACUAAGUGGGUAAAAUAGAUAGCUGCCAAGCCUCUAUUGUCACUAGAAAAUAAAAGAUUGUUACAUUUCUAAGUGUCACCAGAAACUGAUUUGGAAGAUGCUGCCUGUAAUAUUCACAGUUCUGCGAACAUAUGCACCGUAUAUUACUUUACCCGUGGCAGCUGUGAUAGGAUUUAUUGGCUACAAAAUUGAAGGAGUUCUCUCUGACAGAUACACGCCGUAUGAAAAGAGUAUUGAAGAGAAGAGGGAAGAUAGGUUUGUGGAAGAGAGUUUGAAGAAAAAUACAAUGGAAUUUGAGAGUUUGAAAACAAAGAGGUUUGCCCCAUUCAGCGUGUUGCAGAAGAAUGUAUCGCCAUCCUUGGUUGUAGAAGACAAAUAAAUAGUUUAACACAUUUUGGUAGGAGAAUGUAAAAAUUGUAAAUAAAAUAAGUUUUGAAGAUUAUUUGUGAAUGCAACUUGUUACCACUGUGAACGCUGUUAACAGUAUUGUCUUUUUCUAAGUGUUUUAUGCUAUAGUGUAAAUAAAAUAAAUUAAGUUUUUGAUCACUAUUUUUAAGCUUCAUACCUAGACUACUUGAUAAUAUUGCAAAGAAAAAAUUUAUUUCUGUUGGUUUGUGCAGCAGAACUGGAUGUUCCUGCAAGCAUUAAUUAGUAUACUGAAAUUUCCAACUUUAUUAAAUCAUGGUUACUUUUAAAAUGUAAAGUAGAAUAUUUGUUCCUAGCUCUGAAAAGAUUUUUAAUUUCAAAUUUAUUUUUAAUCAGAUUGAUGAAUCAAAUUGAAAUCUGCAAUUUCCACUCAGUGCAAACCUAUCAACUGCAUUGUCAGUUUUUUUAGGAAUGUCACAAUGAUUUGCUUACACUUUCAUCCUGUACUCAAGCUAGCUUAUGGGGUGUCAAGUUUGGUUGAGACAUGCAAAAAAAGUGCCAUCCAUUGGGGUGCUUUGGAGAAUGGCGCUUACUAAAAGAUACCAUGUUUUCACAAAGAAUUUUAAAACCCUUUGUAACAUAAAUUAGAUAUAAAAACUAUCUUAUUGGUGUAGCAAUUUUUCUAACUUAUCCUCACCAAAAUGGACGGUCUGAAGUGGGUCUGUGGCUUCCCCUUGGAUCUGACACUGCUUGGGACAUAACAUAUACUUAGAUGCAAAUAAAAUUUUCACACUUGACAUUUAGUGCCAUUUAGUACUGUCGUAAAGUACCUUUUUGUGGAAAGUCUGUGUAUUUACUGUCAAUGUGUCUGCUUCCACCGCCUGGGAAUACGCUUAGUUAAACAACCCUGAGUGUUAUAAAGGCAAUAUUUACACUUUAUAGAAAGUAAAUAUUUAAUUUCCUUUAAUAUUUAUUUUGUUUAAUUACAUUUUAUUUUGUAUGUUUAUAUUUGUAAUCUAUGAUUAAUUCAGACUGUAAAUUUCUUUGGUUAACGUUUUGUCUAUGUAUUACUCUAUGUUAAUUUUUAUUUUAAAAUAUUGUCAAGGCUAGCAUAGCAGUAUUUUUUUGAUACCACUAUUAAUUUAAAGAUGAACACGUCAGUAAUGGUUAGUAAUUCUACUAGUUUUGUUUUAUCAACAAACUAAAGAAAAUCGUUUACUAGUGACGGGAAAAAAUAUUCUUUUAGAACGAAUUGAGACUUGAUUAAGACAACAGAUAGAACGCAACGAUUUUAACAUUAAUUUAUAGUUGAAUAUUUAUAGAAGAUUGAAAAUGGUUAUUAAUGCCAAUAUCGACUGAGAUUUUGAAGGAAAUAAUAAUUUUAAUCGACGAAGAUAAGACUCAGACGUCAAGAUUUUAAAUAAUUACUUAAGAAGAGAAGUCGACAAAUAUCCAUGUUCAAGAGAUCGUCAAAUGACUUUAAUUUGCUUUGAACUACGAAGAAUAAAUGUCGUUUACAAUUCCGAAGAAAGAAGAAUCCUGUCGAAGAUUGAAAAGUCGCAGUUCAAGCCCGGGAAGGAUGACCGUCGCGCAGUCCAGCCCAGUUGCAGCCCAUAGUCUGAAGGAUGUAGUCGUGACGGCGCGUAUUCCUGCCGCACGCUAGAGAACGGAGGAGCAACACCAAGUUCGCAGUCCUGGAUGAGUCGAACCAAGGAUUCUCUGAGAACCUACACGUCUCGUGGGUAUCCUGCAGCAAGGUUUGGUCCCUUACCCCAUCACCCGAAGACUCGCUGAAUGUAGAAGUACCCUAACGAAUUACAAUUUAAACAAGACGAACAUUUUUCGCAGAACUAAGACUCUUUUAUAUUAUAGAGCAUAUUCUUUGUACAGAAAAACCGAUUAACUUGUUCAUCUUUAGAUUUACAAAUCAAAUUCCGGAAUCGCGAUCCCGAACUAGAUAAUAUUAGCUAGUAUAGAUGGAAUUUGAUAUUGGAAGAACGUAUUGCUAUUUUGGUUGACUGGUACUGCAAGUUACAUACCCAGUAGUCCACGCUCUACCGGACUGAAGUUAGUUAAAAUAAAUAACAUCCAAAUAAUUAACAUUUGAUCGUAAAGAUAAUUCACUCAAGUGAAAGAAUUGUUAGAUGCUUUGAAGUUGAGAGUAAUAACAUAUUCCAUCUGUAGUUUAAAAUAAAUUAUUUUAGUUAAGUUUAUUUAUAUAAAGUGUGAUUUUGUGCAUGUCAAAGUGUAUUGUCACCGUCUUCACAAACAUUACACACAAAUAUAAAUAUUACAUUUGAA
This is a long non-coding RNA of Bacillus rossius redtenbacheri, 2761 nucleotides long. RefSeq lists it as uncharacterized. Lineage: Eukaryota; Metazoa; Arthropoda; Insecta; Phasmatodea; Bacillidae. The record is from RefSeq and is a predicted model, not a curated record. The transcript is spliced from 2 exons.